Molecule: ribosomal RNA, 663 nt
Filed under: Colias hecla (Greenland butterfly)
Lineage: Eukaryota; Metazoa; Arthropoda; Insecta; Lepidoptera; Pieridae
Description: partial 16S ribosomal RNA
Source: RNAcentral
UGGGGGAAAAUUAAUAAAAAAAAAAAUAAAUAAUAAAAAUAAUUAUAAAAAAUAAUUAAUGGGGGUUAAAGUAUUUUUUAGAAAAAAUUUAUUAAUUUAUAGUUUAAUAGUAUUGUGAAAGAAUUUUGAAAUAAAGUUAAAUAUCAAUUAUUAUUUAAGUAAAUUUAAUUUAUUGUAUCUUGUGUAUCAGAGUUUAUUAAUAAAUAUUUAUAAAUAAAAAUAUCUCGAAUUUAAAAGAGAUAGUUAAUUAUUAAAGUUAAUGUGACAUAAUUAUUUUAAAUAAUUAAUUUGAAAUGAAAUGUUAAUCGUUUUUAAAAAUAUCUAGUUUUUUUAGAAAAAAAUUUAAUUUUAAAUUAAUUUAAUAAUUUUUUAAAUUUGUUAUAUAAAAUUAUAUAUUUAAUUAAAUAUUUUAGGGGAUAAGCUUUAAAUUAAAUUUUUAUAAUAUUUAAUAAAUUAUUUAAAUAUUUUAAAAUUUAUAUUUUUUAUAAAUUAUAAUUUUUUAUAAAUAAUUUUAUUUAUUUUAAAAUUUAAAUUUAUAUUUAAAUUUUUAUAAAAAAAAUAAUUUUUAAUAAUAAAAAAUUAGUUAUAAUGAUAAAAUUAGUAUAAAAAAAAAAAAAUAAAAUAAAAUUAAUUAAAAUUAAUAAAAAGGAAUUCGGCAAAAAU